RNAcentral lists this ribosomal RNA (434 nucleotides) under uncultured bacterium. RNAcentral describes it as "partial 16S ribosomal RNA". It matches the Rfam family "Bacterial small subunit ribosomal RNA", at positions 29 to 508 of the family's 1533-position model. The record is from RNAcentral.
AACGAACGCUGGCGGCAUGCCUAACACAUGCAAGUCGAACGAGACCUUCGGGUCUAGUGGCGCACGGGUGCGUAACGCGUGGGAACCUGCCCUUGGGUUCGGAAUAACUCCCCGAAAGGGGUGCUAAUACCGGAUAAUGUCUUCGGACCAAAGAUUUAUCGCCUUUGGAUGGGCCCGCGUUGGAUUAGCUAGUUGGUAGGGUAAAAGCCUACCAAGGCGACGAUCGAUAGCUGGUCUGAGAGGAUGAUCAGCCACACUGGGACUGAGACACGGCCCAGACUCCUACGGGAGGCAGCAGUGGGGAAUAUUGGACAAUGGGCGAAAGCCUGAGCCAGCAAUGCCGCGUGAGUGAUGAAGGCCUUAGGGUUGUAAAGCUCUUUUACCCGGGAUGAUAAUGACAGUACCGGGAGAAUAAGCUCCGGCUAACUCCGUGC